This 701-nucleotide ribosomal RNA is filed under the name uncultured Sphingobacteriia bacterium. RNAcentral describes it as "bacterial SSU rRNA". It matches the Rfam family "Bacterial small subunit ribosomal RNA", at positions 58 to 749 of the family's 1533-position model. Lineage: Bacteria; Pseudomonadati; Bacteroidota; Sphingobacteriia. The record is from RNAcentral.
CAAGUCGUGGGGCAGCAUGACUGUAGCAAUACAGUUGAUGACGACCGGCAAACGGGUGCGGAACACGUACACAACCUUCCUUUAAGUGGGGAAUAGCCCGGGGAAACCCGGAUUAAUACCCCGUAAUAUAAUGAAGUGGCAUCACUUUAUUAUUAUAGCAGCAAUGCGCUUUAAGAUGGGUGUGCGACUGAUUAGGCAGUUGGCGGGGUAACGGCCCACCAAACCUACGAUCAGUAACUGGUGUGAGAGCACGACCAGUCACACGGGCACUGAGACACGGGCCCGACUCCUACGGGAGGCAGCAGUAAGGAAUAUUGGUCAAUGGACGCAAGUCUGAACCAGCCAUGCCGCGUGGAGGAUGAAGGUCCUCUGGAUUGUAAACUUCUUUUAUUUGGGAAGAAAUCCACGAAUUCUUUUGUGGUUGACGGUACAGAUGAAUAAGCACCGGCUAACUCCGUGCCAGCAGCCGCGGUAAUACGGAGGGUGCAAGCGUUAUCCGGAUUCACUGGGUUUAAAGGGUGCGUAGGUGGGUUGGUAAGUCAGUGGUGAAAUCUCCAGGCUUAACUUGGAAACUGCCAUUGAUACUAUCAAUCUUGAAUACCGUGGAGGUCAGCGGAAUAUGUCAUGUAGCGGUGAAAUGCUUAGAUAUGACAUAGAACACCAAUUGCGAAGGCAGCUGGCUACACGAAUAUUGACACUGA